CUCAUCCGUGCGGGGGUCAUAGUCGAAGUGGCUGUGGGCAUCGGGCUCGGCGAUCCAGGCCAGCCGCGUGCCGGGCAGGGUGCGCAGGGUGCUGCGGUCACCCUACUGCCUCCUGUGUUGUGAUGAUACAGGCAGAGGAAGUCUUUCUUUCACCUCUGUCUCUGGAGUCCUGACAUCACCUUUGCUGACCUAUGCUUCAGCAUCCCCAGGGUAACAGGAUACAAUGAAAGAAGAGGAUACCAAGAGAGACGUUGGAAAACUGAGCCCUGAUGACCUUUGUCAGCACUUGAACCAAACAGUGCUUUCAGUAGAACAGCGUCUUCCUCUUUCGUGCCCAGGAUGAAGUCAAAGCCCCCCACAGGAGCCUGUAAUGCUUAUAAGUGAGUUUUGCCUGGAUGGAAGCAAGCCACCAGAGCUUAUUUCUCAGAGAAGUCCUAUGGUGGAGGUGGCUGCAUGCCAGGAAAUUCACACCCUGCUGAAGGACUCCUCCACCAGAGAAUGGCACUGCAAUCCUUCUGCCACCUCCUGCUCUUGUGCACGUGCCUUCUGUUAUGUAAACAGUCUCCCCCAGCACUUCUGACAUCUCUACUGUGCACGAAGCCAACAGGAGACUCUUACAAAGCUGGAUGUUGGUUAAGGUGCCGAGAGGGCAGCCCUGCCCCAGCCUCUCUGACCAGCCAAGCCUGGUGUGCCCGCACAGCAGCCCUGUGUCCUCUGUGCCCCCAUUCGUCAUCCACUGUGGUCACCGCCGCAUGCACGAUGGAGCUCAUGAGUUGUUCCUUCCUUCUUCCUGUUGAAGAGAGACCUGGCGUGUGGGGACCCUGCCUCCCUCUGCUGCUGGACUACAAGGAGGAAGGACCUCAUCUCCUGCCCAGGGCACUCACCAUGCCAUCGGAGCAGUUGG
This is a long non-coding RNA of Lagopus muta (rock ptarmigan), 904 nucleotides long. RefSeq lists it as uncharacterized. NCBI's taxonomy places the organism in Eukaryota, Metazoa, Chordata, Aves, Galliformes, Phasianidae. The transcript has 6 exons. The record is from RefSeq and is a predicted model, not a curated record.